Molecule: transfer RNA, 78 nt
Filed under: Neolewinella antarctica
Lineage: Bacteria; Pseudomonadati; Bacteroidota; Saprospiria; Saprospirales; Lewinellaceae
Description: Lewinella antarctica tRNA-Pro
Rfam family: tRNA
About the family: Transfer RNA (tRNA) molecules are approximately 80 nucleotides in length. Their secondary structure includes four short double-helical elements and three loops (D, anti-codon, and T loops).
Source: RNAcentral
CGGGGUAUAGCGAAGUCCGGUUAUCGUGCCUGCUUUGGGAGCAGGAGGCCCCAGGUUCGAAUCCUGGUACCCCGACCA